RNAcentral lists this ribosomal RNA (519 nucleotides) under uncultured bacterium. RNAcentral's name for it is "partial 16S ribosomal RNA". It matches the Rfam family "Bacterial small subunit ribosomal RNA", at positions 28 to 507 of the family's 1533-position model. The record is from RNAcentral.
GACGAACGCUGGCGGCGUGCCUAAUACAUGCAAGUCGAGCGAGCUUGCCUAGAUGAAUUUGGUGCUUGCACCAAAUGAAACUAGAUACAAGCGAGCGGCGGACGGGUGAGUAACACGUGGGUAACCUGCCCAAGAGACUGGGAUAACCCCCUGAUACAGAUGCUAAUACCGGACAACAACACUAGACGCAUGUCUAGAGUCUAAAAGAUGGUUCUGCUGUCACUCUGGGAUGGACCUGCGGUGCAUUAGCUAGUUGGUAAGGCAACGGCUUACCAAGGCAAUGAUGCAUAGCCGAGUUGAGAGACUGAUCGGCCACAUUGGGACUGAGACACGGCCCAGACUCCUACGGGAGGCAGCAGUAGGGAAUCUUCCACAAUGGACGCAAGUCUGAUGGAGCAACGCCGCGUGAGUGAAGAAGGGUUUCGGCUCGUAAAGCUCUGUUGGUAGUGAAGAAAGAUAGAGGUAGUAACUGGCCUUUAUUUGACGGUAAUUACUUAGAAAGUCACGGCUAACUACGUG